Molecule: long non-coding RNA, 4121 nt
Organism: Ficedula albicollis (Collared flycatcher)
Lineage: Eukaryota; Metazoa; Chordata; Aves; Passeriformes; Muscicapidae
Source: Ensembl
AUGGGGUCAGUUAAGGACAGUGGUAUCAGCCAGCGACAGUGGGGUCAGGCAGGGAAAUGGGAUCAGGGACAGUGGGAUCAGUCAGGAACAGUGGGGUCAGGCAGGGAAAUGGGAUCAGGAACACUGGGAUCAGACAGGAAAAGGGGGAUCAGGGACAGUGGGAUCAGACAGGAACAGUGGGAUCAGGGACACUGGGAUCAGGAACAAUGGGAUCAGUUUAGGACAGUGGGAUCAGUUCAGGACAGAGGGAUCAGUUCAGGACAGUGGGAUCAGUUUAGGACAGUGGGAUCAAUUCAGGACAGUGGGGUCAGGAACAGUGGGAUCAGGAACACUGGGAUCAGUUCAGGACAGUGGGAUCAGUUCAGGACAGUGGGAUCAGCUCAGGACAGAGGGAUCAGUUCAGGACAGUGGGAUCAGUUUAGGACAGAGGGAUCAGUUCAGGACAGAGGGAUCAGCCAGGGAGAAGGGGUUAAGCUCAUCUCAGCAUUCCAGCGACCGCAGGGCCUGAUUAAACACAGAAUUCUCCGCCUCUUCCGAGGGCUUUUUUUUUUUUUUUUUUUUUUUCCAAAAUUCCAAAUUUUUUUUCCCCCCCCCCCCCCCCCCCCCCCCCCCCCCCCCCCCCCCCCCCCCCCCCCCCCCCCCCCCCCCCCCCCCCCCCCCCCCCCCCCCCCCCCCCCCCCCCCCCCCCCCCCCCCCCCCCCCCCCCCCCCCCCCCCCCCCCCCCCCCCCGGGUUUUUUUUUUUUUUUUUUUUUUUUCCACAAUUCCCAAUUUCUUUUCCCCACUUCCAGCCAUCCAAGGAAACAGACAGGCCCUGGCGGCCGCGCAGGAGGGAUUUUGGGACGAAGCCCAAAGCCCAAAGCCCCAUCAGCCCCAGCCCCUCUCACUUGAGGCGGUGCAGGUCGGCGUGGGGGGCGUAGAGGCCGCGCUCGAAGCGUUCGCGCAGCACCGACCACCUGGUGGCACAGUAAUCCUGCAGGAAACAGAAAAUUGGGCAUCUCUUAAGGAAAAGCUUUGCUGUGGGACUCUGGGAACAAAAUCCUUCUGGAGAGAUGUCUUAAAAAGCUUUGCUGUGGGACUCUGGGAACAAAAUCCUUGUGGAGAGAUGUCUUAAGUAAAGGAAUUUAUCCCUUUUUUUUUUUUUCACCUGUGCAGCUUUAGUGAAUUUAGGAUUUCUUAUGGAACAUGAGGUCCCUUAAGGAAAAGCUUUGCUGGGGGACUUUAGGAACAAAAUCCCCGUAGAGAGAGAUGUCUUAAAGAAGGGAAUUUAUCCCUGAUUUUCACUUUUGUAGCUUUAGUAAAUUUAGGAAUUUGGGAUUUCUUAAGGAAAAGUUUUGCUGGGGGACUUUGGGAUUAAAAUCCUUGUGGAUGUUAUAAAUAAGAAAUUGAUCUGUCUUUUUAACCUGUGCAGCUUCAGUGAAUUUAGGAAUUCAGGAUCCCUUAAGGCAAAGUUUUGUUGCAGGACUUUGGGAACAAAAUCUUUGUGGAGAGAUGCUGUAAAUUAAGAAUUGAUCCCCAUUUUUUCACCUGUGCAGCUUUGGUGAAUUGGGAUCUCUUAUGGAAUUUGGGAUCUCUGACAGAAUUCGGGAUCUCUUAAGGAAAAGUUUUGCUGUGGGACUUUAGGAACAAAAUCCUUGUGGAGGUUCUAAAUUAGGGAUUUAUCCCCAUUUUUUCACCUGUGCAGCUUUAGAGAAUUGGGAUCUCUUAGGGAAUUUGGGAUCUCUGACAGAAUUCGAGAUCCCUUAAGGCAAUGUUUUACUGCAGGACUUUGGGGACACAAUCCUUGUGGAGAGAAGCUGUAAGUGAGGAAUUGAUGCCCAUUUUCUCACCUGUGCAGCUUUGGGGACAGGAGAGAGCUGAGAAAGGGGCUGGGGACAGGAGAGAGCUGAGAAAGGGGCUGGGGACAGGAGAGAGCUGAGAAAGGGGCUGGGGACAGGAGAGAGCUGAGAAAGGGGCUGGGGACAGGAGAGAGCUGAGAAAGGGGCUGGGGACAGGAGAGAGCUGAGAAAGGGGCUGGGGACAGGAGAGAGCUGAGAAAGGGGCUGGGGACAGGAGAGAGCUGAGAAAGGGGCUGGGGACAGGAGAGAGCUGAGAAAGGGGCUGGGGACAGGAGAGAGCUGAGAAAGGGGCUGGGGACAGGAGAGAGCUGAGAAAGGGGCUGGGGACAGGAGAGAGCUGAGAAAGGGGCUGGGGACAGGAGAGAGCUGAGAAAGGGGCUGGGGACAGGAGAGAGCUGAGAAAGGGGCUGGGGACAGGAGAGAGCUGAGAAAGGGGCUGGGGACAGGAGAGAGCUGAGAAAGGGGCUGGGGACAGGAGAGAGCUGAGAAAGGGGCUGGGGACAGGAGAGAGCUGAGAAAGGGGCUGGGGACAGGAGAGAGCUGAGAAAGGGGCUGGGGACAGGAGAGAGCUGAGAAAGGGGCUGGGGACAGGAGAGAGCUGAGAAAGGGGCUGGGGACAGGAGAGAGCUGAGAAAGGGGCUGGGGACAGGAGAGAGCUGAGAAAGGGGCUGGGGACAGGAGAGAGCUGAGAAAGGGGCUGGGGACAGGAGAGAGCUGAGAAAGGGGCUGGGGACAGGAGAGAGCUGAGAAAGGGGCUGGGGACAGGAGAGAGCUGAGAAAGGGGCUGGGGACAGGAGAGAGCUGAGAAAGGGGCUGGGGACAGGAGAGAGCUGAGAAAGGGGCUGGGGACAGGAGAGAGCUGAGAAAGGGGCUGGGGACAGGAGAGAGCUGAGAAAGGGGCUGGGGACAGGAGAGAGCUGAGAAAGGGGCUGGGGACAGGAGAGAGCUGAGAAAGGGGCUGGGGACAGGAGAGAGCUGAGAAAGGGGCUGGGGACAGGAGAGAGCUGAGAAAGGGGCUGGGGACAGGAGAGAGCUGAGAAAGGGGCUGGGGACAGGAGAGAGCUGAGAAAGGGGCUGGGGACAGGAGAGAGCUGAGAAAGGGGCUGGGGACAGGAGAGAGCUGAGAAAGGGGCUGGGGACAGGAGAGAGCUGAGAAAGGGGCUGGGGACAGGAGAGAGCUGAGAAAGGGGCUGGGGACAGGAGAGAGCUGAGAAAGGGGCUGGGGACAGGAGAGAGCUGAGAAAGGGGCUGGGGACAGGAGAGAGCUGAGAAAGGGGCUGGGGACAGGAGAGAGCUGAGAAAGGGGCUGGGGACAGGAGAGAGCUGAGAAAGGGGCUGGGGACAGGAGAGAGCUGAGAAAGGGGCUGGGGACAGGAGAGAGCUGAGAAAGGGGCUGGGGACAGGAGAGAGCUGAGAAAGGGGCUGGGGACAGGAGAGAGCUGAGAAAGGGGCUGGGGACAGGAGAGAGCUGAGAAAGGGGCUGGGGACAGGAGAGAGCUGAGAAAGGGGCUGGGGACAGGAGAGAGCUGAGAAAGGGGCUGGGGACAGGAGAGAGCUGAGAAAGGGGCUGGGGACAGGAGAGAGCUGAGAAAGGGGCUGGGGACAGGAGAGAGCUGAGAAAGGGGCUGGGGACAGGAGAGAGCUGAGAAAGGGGCUGGGGACAGGAGAGAGCUGAGAAAGGGGCUGGGGACAGGAGAGAGCUGAGAAAGGGGCUGGGGACAGGAGAGAGCUGAGAAAGGGGCUGGGGACAGGAGAGAGCUGAGAAAGGGGCUGGGGACAGGAGAGAGCUGAGAAAGGGGCUGGGGACAGGAGAGAGCUGAGAAAGGGGCUGGGGACAGGAGAGAGCUGAGAAAGGGGCUGGGGACAGGAGAGAGCUGAGAAAGGGGCUGGGGACAGGAGAGAGCUGAGAAAGGGGCUGGGGACAGGAGAGAGCUGAGAAAGGGCUGGGAGCCCUGCAGCCUGGGGGAGGGACAGUCAGAAAGGGCCUGGGGACAGGGAGAGAAAUGUCCUGGGGACAGGAACAGGGACAUGACCAUUCCCAUCUUUCCAGGUCCAUUCCCACCUUUCCCGCAUCAUCCCCACCUCUCCAUGACCAUCCCCACCUCUCCAUGACCAUCCCCACCUUCCCAUGGUCACUCCCAGUUUUCCAGUAAUAUUCCCACAGGACAGUGGGAUUAGCCAGGGAAAUGGGGUCGGUUUAGGGCAGUGGGACCAGUUCAGGACAGCGGGAUCAGUUUAGGAUAGUCGGAUCAGUUUAGGACAGUGGGAUCAGUUAAGGACAGUGG